AUAGCUCCUCGGCCUUUUAGCGAAGAUCAAGUAUAGUAUCUGUUCUUAUCAGUUUAAUAUCUGAUAUGUCCUCUAUUCGAGGACAAUAUAUUAAAUGGAUUUUGGAAUUAGGAGAUGGAAUAGGAGCUUAUAUACUCCGUCCACUCCACCGUCGACCGGGUAUUGCAGUACUUCCAGUAACGGUGCACCCCCU
Molecule: small nuclear RNA, 193 nt
Organism: Mustela putorius furo (domestic ferret)
Lineage: Eukaryota; Metazoa; Chordata; Mammalia; Carnivora; Mustelidae
Gene: U2
Rfam family: U2 spliceosomal RNA
About the family: U2 is a small nuclear RNA (snRNA) component of the spliceosome (involved in pre-mRNA splicing).
Source: Ensembl